UGAGUUAAAUAAUAACUGAGUGGACUUUAUUUUAAUUUGCCAUUGUUCGUGAAGACAGUCAUUAGUUUUAAAUGUGAUUAGACAACCCUCCACAGAAGCCUUUGGGAACAAAAUUAAAUUUUGUAGAGACAGGGAGUCUCACUUUGUUACCCAGGCUGGUCUCAAAUUACUGGGCUCAAGCAAUCCUCCUGCUUCAGCCUCUCAAAGUGCCAGGAUUACAGGUAUGAGCCACCAAGUCCUACCAGAAUUUGCAUUUUGGAGUAUGCACCAUUAAACAGUUUAACUCUUCAGUUGAUCUCUUUUUAAAAAUCAAUUGUUCAGCAUCUGUGGAAUCUGAUUGUGAUGUGGUCAGGGACAGAAUGGGACUAAAAUGAGAAUAACCAUGCCAGACUCUUCAGGACACAACCUGGCUAUGGGAGGCUGAUUGUGUUUGCAUGGAGACACUAACUCCAAGUGGAUGGAUGACACCACUGGGACACUGUUGCUCAUGGACCACAGACAGUGGCGCUGGGACACCAAUGCUCAGACUAUAGAUGGUGGUGAUGGGACACCAUUGCUCAUGGACUGCAGACAGUGCUACGAGGACACCGAUGCUCAUGGACUACAGAUGCUGCUCUGAAGUGCUCUGCACUUUACUUUUCUCUAGUUCAUUUCCAAACGGGCCAAUUUCAAAAUUAUAAUUGAAAAGAGUAACUUGAAAACAGAUACUCCCAGCCAUGCCCUUGCCUCAAGACAUCUGCCGUCUCCCUGGCCUCUGAGGCAGGGUGGGAAGACACCGCCACCCCAUUCCAUAGGUGAAGAGCUCUUUCAUGGGGUACAUGCGCAUCCCACUCCUUGCUCGGCUCAGCACAAGCUCAGCAUUGCCAGAGAGAAAAACUGGAAGACAGAGACAAACAAAACAACAACUGGUAGGUGGGUGCUUGUGAUAAGUUAAAGAUAGGAAACCAGGGAACGCUGUGGGCUGCCACCCCAGGGGCUUGGUCGCCACCAAGAGUGAAGGAGGAACAACAGGGAGAGGAUAUGCACCAGAGUCCCCAUCGCCAGCCUAAGCAGGAGCACAGGAGCAACAGCGUUUGAUGCUUUCCUACAAGAGGCUGAAGAAGGAAACAAGUUGCUGAGGUUUUGAAGAAUCGUGGGUCGCAUUUCCUUGGAUCAGCUAAGCCCCGAACAGAUCCCUAAAGCAACUGGGCUUCUGGUCCUAUUUCACCUUCAAAGAGAAUCAAUCCUACCCUUCCAUCCUGAACAGUCUUCUAGGCUCAAGCACUCUGAAUUUUCCUAUCGUGGCUGGAGCUAUCGAUUUGGUGCUAGUCUCACUCUCUUUGUCAACCUCUCUUGUGCAUUUAUUAAUACAAACUUAUUAUUUUUUCCUAACUUAGUUUUUAACGUGAUUACAUUCACAGAUUUUUUAAAAGUUGAUCUGCUCUUGAAUUCCUGGUUUUAUUCUAUGUAAUUAUCAGUAUUUUUUUUCAGAAAUGGUCUCUUUUUAUUUGAAUGGUUGAUCUAGGACUCAGCCUAAAUAUUAUUCUAAUACGUAGCUGUACAUAACCAACAUGUCUAUGAUGUUAGUGAUGAACCAGAACCAACACAGAGAUGGUCUUUGCCUGAUAAAAGAUAAUCACAAUCCGAAAUAAAAUUACUAGGUAAAAUACAGGAUGCCUAGUUAAAUUUGAGUAUCAGAUAAACAAUGAAACAUUUUUAGUUACAUGUCCCAUGUAAUAUUUGUACUAAAUACUUAUACUAAAUUGUAAAGGACAUACUUAUACUAAAUUGUAAAGGACAUCCUUAUACUAAAGGAAAGCAUUGCUUAUCUGAAAUUCACAUUUAACUGGUUGUCCUAUAUUUUUAUUUGUUAAAUGUGGCAAUCUUAAUCAUAAACAAAUAAGCAAACAAGUAUAAGUCUUAGAAAAGAAUAAAUCAAUUUUUAAAUGAAUGCAUUUAGUGUUGUCAGGGAAUAAUUACAAUAUGUCAGCAAACCUUGGCAACCAUUGGAAUCCCGUUUCUGAAAAUUACAGUGUAGUGUGAAGUAGAAAAUAACAACGAUGGUUUUAACUCAUAUGAAACAUAGAAAAAAUUCAGAAACAAACUAGAUUUAUUGGUUUUAAGGAAAAGAAGCCAGAACAACUACCAGAAUACUGUUCUGUUAGGUAACUCUUCUUUUAACCACCUUCUUUAAUUACUCAGGAAAUAUUUCUGUGUUUUCCUCAACAACUGGAGUAGAUUUUCCCAUGAGUUUUAUGUUACACAAAGUUUAGUUAUUUUUAAAGUUAUCAAAUCAGCUCUUACUGGCUUGAAGUUAAGUAUCCAUGGAACUUGUAUUUCCUUUGUUUUCCUUUCAAAUGUCUCCCCAAAAUGCUUGUAACUGUGUAUCCUU
RNAcentral lists this long non-coding RNA (2371 nucleotides) under Homo sapiens (human). Its description in RNAcentral is "HSALNT0079468". The record is from RNAcentral. Lineage: Eukaryota; Metazoa; Chordata; Mammalia; Primates; Hominidae.